RNAcentral lists this ribosomal RNA (630 nucleotides) under uncultured bacterium. Its description in RNAcentral is "bacterial SSU rRNA". It matches the Rfam family "Bacterial small subunit ribosomal RNA", at positions 9 to 633 of the family's 1533-position model. The record is from RNAcentral.
GAGUUUGAUCAUGGCUCAGAGUGAACGCUAGCGGCGUGGUUCAGACAUGCAAGUCGAACGCUCUCGCAAGAGAGAGUGGCGAACGGGUGAGUAACACGUGAACAAUUUACCUUCAAAUUGGGGAUAGCCUUCCGAAAGGGGGGGUAAUACCGAAUGUGGCGCUGUGUCGCAUGACAUGGGAGCUAAAGGCGGGGACCGCAAGGCCUGCCGUUUGAAGAUGAGUUCGCGGCCUAUCAGCUAGUUGGCGGGGUAACGGCCCACCAGGGCGAAGACGGGUAGCUGUUCUGAGAGGAUGAUCAGCCACACUGGAACUGAGAUACGGUCCAGACACCUACGGGUGGCAGCAGUUUCGAAUUAUUUGCAAUGGGGGCAACCCUGACAGUGCAACGCCGCGUGAGGGAUGAAGGUCUUCGGAUCGUAAACCUCUGUCACCGGACAUUAAUGUGCGUUUGUUAAUAGCAGACGUAUUGAAAAUCCGGAGAGGAAGCAGUGGCUAACUCCGUGCCAGCAGCCGCGGUAAUACGGAGACUGCAAGCGUUACUCGGAAUCACUGGGCGUAAAGGGUGCGUAGGUUGUUGGGUGUGACUGACGUGAAAUCCCAGGGCUUAACCCUGGAACUGCGUUGGUUCC